AUUGAACGCUGGCGGCAUGCCUUACACAUGCAAGUCGAACGGCAGCACGGGCUUCGGUCUGGUGGCGAGUGGCGAACGGGUGAGUAAAGUAUCGGAACGUGCCCUAGAGUGGGGGGAUAACGUAGCGAAAGUUACGCUAAUACCGCAUAUUCUAUGCGUAGGAAAGCGGGGGAUCUUCGGACCUCGCGCUCUAGGAGCGGCCGAUAUCAGAUUAGCUAGUUGGUGGGGUAAAGGCCUACCAAGGCGACGAUCUGUAGCGGGUCUGAGAGGAUGAUCCGCCACACUGGGACUGAGACACGGCCCAGACUCCUACGGGAGGCAGCAGUGGGGAAUUUUGGGACAAUGGGGCGCAAGCCUGAUCCAGCCAUGCCGCGUGAGUGAAGAAGGCCU
RNAcentral lists this ribosomal RNA (390 nucleotides) under uncultured bacterium. Its description in RNAcentral is "bacterial SSU rRNA". It matches the Rfam family "Bacterial small subunit ribosomal RNA", at positions 30 to 417 of the family's 1533-position model. The record is from RNAcentral.